AUUGAACGCUGGCGGCAUGCCUUACACAUGCAAGUCGAACGGUAACAGGUCUUUCGGGAUGCUGACGAGUGGCGAACGGGUGAGUAAUACAUCGGAACGUGCCUAGUAGUGGGGGAUAACUACUCGAAAGAGUGGCUAAUACCGCAUGAGAUCUAUGAAUGAAAGCAGGGGACCUUCGGGCCUUGUGCUACUAGAGCGGCCGAUGGCAGAUUAGGUAGUUGGUGGGAUAAAAGCUUACCAAGCCUGCGAUCUGUAGCUGGUCUGAGAGGACGAUCAGCCACACUGGGACUGAGACACGGCCCAGACUCCUACGGGAGGCAGCAGUGGGGAAUUUUGGACAAUGGGGGAAACCCUGAUCCAGCAAUGCCGCGUGCAGGAUGAAGGCCUUCGGGUUGUAAACUGCUUUUGUACGGAACGAAAAGUCCUGGGUUAAUACCCUGGGAUCAUGACGGUACCGUAAGAAUAAGCACCGGCUAACUACGUGCCAGCCGCCGCGGUAA
RNAcentral lists this ribosomal RNA (500 nucleotides) under uncultured bacterium. RNAcentral describes it as "partial 16S ribosomal RNA". It matches the Rfam family "Bacterial small subunit ribosomal RNA", at positions 30 to 523 of the family's 1533-position model. The record is from RNAcentral.